UAGGGGAUCUUCCACAAUGGACGAAAGUCUGGUGGAGCAACGCCGCGUGAGUGAAGAAGGGUUUCGGCUCGUAAAACUCUGUUGUUAAAGAAGAACAUAUCUGAGAGUAACUGUUCAGGUAUUGACGGUAUUUAACCAGAAAGCCACGGCUAACUGCGUGCCGG
This 164-nucleotide ribosomal RNA is filed under the name uncultured bacterium. Its description in RNAcentral is "partial 16S rRNA". It matches the Rfam family "Bacterial small subunit ribosomal RNA", at positions 355 to 511 of the family's 1533-position model. The record is from RNAcentral.